UACGUAGGGGGCUAGCGUUGUCCGGAAUCAUUGGGCGUAAAGAGCGUGUAGGCGGCUCGGUAAGUCCGCUGUGAAAGUCCAGGGCUCAACCCUGGAAUGCCAGUGGAAACUGUCGAGCUAGAGUCCGGAAGAGGCGAGUGGAAUUCCUGGUGUAGCGGUGAAAUGCGCAGAUAUCAGGAGGAACACCAGUGGCGAAGGCGACUCACUGGACACGUAUUGACGCUGAGGUGCGAAAGCGUGGGGAGCAAACAGG
This 253-nucleotide ribosomal RNA is filed under the name uncultured bacterium. RNAcentral describes it as "partial 16S ribosomal RNA". It matches the Rfam family "Bacterial small subunit ribosomal RNA", at positions 524 to 776 of the family's 1533-position model. The record is from RNAcentral.